Molecule: long non-coding RNA, 2705 nt
Organism: Ornithodoros turicata
Lineage: Eukaryota; Metazoa; Arthropoda; Arachnida; Ixodida; Argasidae
Exons: 4
Source: RefSeq, a predicted model, not a curated record
UUGUAUGCGAUGUCGCAUGUCUGGACUUGUUCAGUGUUGCAAUUUUUACCCUUCGUUAAUAUCUUGUUGUUGUUGUCGUCUUGUGUUAGACGUUGAGCUUCGUAGCGAUGUGCGGUAACGCUACGAUUAUUCCUGAGCGCUCCGUGUGUUUAAUGCGUUGUCCUCUUUGCGUGCAUGCGUGUGCUUUUUUUCUCCUGAUUUGUGACGUCCUCGUGGCAUGUCUGGACUUGUUUAGCAGUGUUGCAGUUCUUCCCGCUGCUAGUAUCUUGUUGGUGUCAUGUUGUGCUAGCCGCGUGGCGAUGUGUGGUGACCUGAGGUCUUAAGCCUUUUCCCUGCUCACCUAAGGAAAUUUGUGUAUCCCUGUCCUGUGCUUUCUUUACGCAAGGGUAAUGCGACUGUGUAUGUGGCAUUAUGCAAGAAUUAUCUGGUGGCAGAAAUAGGCGUAUUUUUCUCAGUGUAUUGGCGUGCGCUACGGUUUCUUGCAGUUACAGCUAUUGGAGCACACAUACGUGUAAUUUUUCGCGGUUCUUUUCUCCUUUCACGGCUUUUACUCAGAAUGUAGAUGAGGGGAAACAGUCAGCAUCCAGGUAGAGCAGGAGAAAGCCGCUCGGCAGAGGAGAGAGUUCAUGAGAAUGGAAUUUGUUUGUUUGUUUUUUGUUAUAUGUUGAGUGUUAGUAUUCGCUUUCCUCGAUAUGUUGAGGAAGUCAGCCGUUAUAGGUAUUUGUGCAGAAAUGCUGGUAUCUGAGUGUGUGGAGUAGAAAUUCCUAUAAAGCACCUCUCCUUGUGCAUUCCUGAGCUGCUGUGUGCGCGCGCGUGCUUCUUUUUCCUGGAUUGCGACGUCAUGAUGGCAUGUUGGGGCUUGUUUAGCAGUGUUGCAAUUUUACCCGCUGCUAUUAUCUUGUUAUCUUGUGUUAGCCGCGUAGCGAUAAGCGGUGAUUCUCCGAUUAUUCCUGAGGUCUUAAGCCUUUUCCCUGCUCACCUAAGGAAAUUUGUGUAUCCCUGUCCUGUGCUUUCUUUGCGACAAUGCGUCUGUGUAUGUGGCACUAUCAGAUACCAGACAUGAGUGUCCUUUUCUUGGUUUAUUGGCAUAUGCUUCAGGUUUUUUUAAGUCAAGCACAAGUGCGCGCAAUUUUUCGCUGCUCUCUUCCUCAGAUCACCGAUUUUACGAAGAAGACAGUCGCAUGGUACAGCUGAGAAGAGGGUUUCUCUGAUUGUUUGUUUGAUUUUGUUGGGUGUUCGAUAUGUUGAGGAAGUCAGCUGUUAAAGGUAUCCGUGAAGAAAUGCUUGCACCUGAGCGCAGGAUAGGAAUUCCUGAAGCACGGCACCCUCAGUGUAAAUUAAUUAUGUUGGAUAUGAGUCUGCUUCCCUGCAUGACAAGGCUGAAAUGGGAAGAGAGAAAAAAUUGGAGCGCUUCAUUAGUAGCGAUCCAAGUAAUAGGGCAAUUAUAGUUUCCAUAGAAAGUAGAAUUUUAAUGGGCUCCUAAAAUUAUAGUUUAGUUGUAGUUUUUCUAAACUGCAAUGCAAUAAUCAUUAAUAUAGUAUAGGAAUGCUAUCGUGUUCCCGUAAAGGCGUUCUGUCUUGUGCUUUGGAAUGCGCGAAUAGAACUUUGCUCGCAGCCUUUCCCGCCUUCAUGCUCGCAAUGCGCGAAUGGAACUUUGCCCACCCGGCUUCCGCGCCUUUUUUGCUCGCGGGUGUAGCCUCAGACAACGAAUGUAUGAGCAUAGAAAGGGUCACGUAUUACAUAAGCCUGGAGGUGAUGUUGAGUGGUCUCACUUAUUAUUUUAAAAGAGCAGUGGCAGUUUACUGUAAUUCUAAUGACCAUGAUGAGCCUUUGGGGUGAAAAUCGUUAAUAUGCGGGUGCUUUUUUGUUGAAUUUUAAUGAGAGAAUCAAUGUCAUUAAGAGUAGGACAAAGGAAAUAAUCUUGCGAUUCAAUAAUUAAUAGAAGUCUUUGCCGCUGUCUUCUUCUUCUUCAGACAGGAUGUGAUGACGACACGCAGUCUGUAGCAAUGCAUUGACCGUCACUGGAAAAAAAGUGUAGCAAUAGAAAAAUGGUUGACCUUGUCUAGAGGAGCAUUAGUGGAAAAAAACUGUGUAGCCCUGAGACAAUAGGAUGCCGUUACGACCAAUGAGAACGGCCUGCAGGGGGCGCAAGGAUUCACUUCUCUCUUGGACACUGACGGGUCUCGACACGCAAAUUCUGCUCCUGGCGUUGGCCGUCAGUGGAAGAGCGUAGCUUAGGUGGAUUUUGUGACGAGCGGAUUUACAAUGAGGGAAUGCUGUGAACGGGAAAAAUGAUGAGCUGUCCUAACUUGCCCAGACAUGCCAUGAUGACGUCACAGCUGACGUCACAGGAUGUCCGGAACUUGUGGUCAUAGCUGGGAUGCUUUGCAACCUGCCUCUGUGCUCCGUCGCCCGGCGAUGGUCAGCGGCCUUUCCGGGCCGCUUCCUUCAAGAUGGCGUCGUUGAUCUUCAACUAAACUCCUUCUCUCCACUCUAUCUCUAUCUAUUUUUUUAUUUUUUAUGACCACGUUUAUCCGGAAACGCACAGGGUGGUCUGGACACUAGUUAGACGCUCCCCAAUUAGUGUGAUGACUCAUUGGAUGAUGCUGAUUAAUGUGGGGGGUCCCAAUUAGCUCUAAUUGCUAAUUAAUGGCGUCCAGAAGCCUUGUAGCGUUUCCGGAUAAGCGUGGUCAGUACUUACUACU